AAGAUGACGAGUGGCGGACGGGUGAGUAAUGCUUGGGAACUUGCCUUUGCGAGGGGGAUAACAGUUGGAAACGACUGCUAAUACCGCAUAAUGUCUUCGGACCAAACGGGGCUUAGGCUCCGGCGCAAAGAGAGGCCCAAGUGAGAUUAGCUAGUUGGUAGGGUAACGGCUUACCAAGGCGACGAUCUCUAGCUGUUCUGAGAGGAAGAUCAGCCACACUGGGACUGAAACACGGCCCAGACUCCUACGGGAGGCAGCAGUGGGGAAUAUUGCACAAUGGGGGAAACCCUGAUGCAGCCAUGCCGCGUGUGUGAAGAAGGCCUUCGGGUUGUAAAGCACUUUCAGUUGUGAGGAAAAGUUAGUAGUUAAUACCUGCUAGCCGUGACGUUAACAACAGAAGAAGCACCGGCUAACUCCGUGCCAGCAGCCGCGGUAAUACGGAGGGUGCGAGCGUUAAUCGGAAUUACUGGGCGUAAAGCGCACGCAGGCGGUUUGUUAAGC
RNAcentral lists this ribosomal RNA (501 nucleotides) under Alteromonas sp. WH263. Its description in RNAcentral is "bacterial SSU rRNA". It matches the Rfam family "Bacterial small subunit ribosomal RNA", at positions 85 to 588 of the family's 1533-position model. The record is from RNAcentral. Lineage: Bacteria; Pseudomonadati; Pseudomonadota; Gammaproteobacteria; Alteromonadales; Alteromonadaceae.